This 278-nucleotide ribosomal RNA is filed under the name uncultured bacterium. Its description in RNAcentral is "partial 16S ribosomal RNA". It matches the Rfam family "Bacterial small subunit ribosomal RNA", at positions 524 to 795 of the family's 1533-position model. The record is from RNAcentral.
UACGAAGGGGGCUAGCGUUGUUCGGAAUUACUGGGCGUAAAGCGCACGUAGGCGGAUAUUUAAGUCAGGGGUGAAAUCCCAGAGCUCAACUCUGGAACUGCCUUUGAUACUGGGUAUCUUGAGUAUGGAAGAGGUAAGUGGAAUUGCGAGUGUAGAGGUGAAAUUCGUAGAUAUUCGCAGGAACACCAGUGGCGAAGGCGGCUUACUGGUCCAUAACUGACGCUGAGGUGCGAAAGCGUGGGGAGCCAAACAGGGAGUAAGAAACCCCGGUUAAGGUA